CAUGAAGUCGGAAUUGCUAGUAAUCGCGGAUCAGCAUGCCGCCGGUGAAUACGUUCCCGGGCCUUGUACACACCGCCCGUCACACCAUGGGAGCCGGUAAUACCCGAAGUCAGUAGUCCAACCUCGUGAGGACGCUGCCGAAGGUAGGAUUGGCGACUGGGGUGAAGUCGUAACAAGGUACC
Molecule: ribosomal RNA, 182 nt
Filed under: uncultured bacterium
Lineage: Bacteria
Description: partial 16S ribosomal RNA
Rfam family: Bacterial small subunit ribosomal RNA
Source: RNAcentral